RNAcentral lists this ribosomal RNA (465 nucleotides) under Vreelandella stevensii. RNAcentral describes it as "partial 16S ribosomal RNA". It matches the Rfam family "Bacterial small subunit ribosomal RNA", at positions 338 to 795 of the family's 1533-position model. Lineage: Bacteria; Pseudomonadati; Pseudomonadota; Gammaproteobacteria; Oceanospirillales; Halomonadaceae. The record is from RNAcentral.
CCUACGGGGGGCAGCAGUGGGGAAUAUUGGACAAUGGGCGAAAGCCUGAUCCAGCCAUGCCGCGUGUGUGAAGAAGGCCUUCGGGUUGUAAAGCACUUUCAGUGGGGAAGAAAGCCUUGGGGCUAAUACCCUCGAGGAAGGACAUCACCCACAGAAGAAGCACCGGCUAACUCCGUGCCAGCAGCCGCGGUAAUACGGAGGGUGCGGGCGUUAAUCGGAAUUACUGGGCGUAAAGCGCGCGUAGGCGGUCUGAUAAGCCGGUUGUGAAAGCCCCGGGCUCAACCUGGGAACGGCAUCCGGAACUGUCAGGCUAGAGUGCAGGAGAGGAAGGUAGAAUUCCCGGUGUAGCAGUGAAAUGCGUAGAGAUCGGGAGGAAUACCAGUGGCGAAGGCGGCCUUCUGGACUGACACUGACGCUGAGGUGCGAAAGCGUGGGUAGCAAACAGGAUUAGAUACCCCAGUAGUC